UGUUAAAAAGAAUAUUCUCCAGUGCAAAGGUCGACCCAUUUGAUUUGACCCAAUGAAAUGAUAAAACUUAAAAUUCACAUUACUUCUUAAUGAUAGUUGCAAAAAUAUUUAUAUAUAAAAUGUUAAUAUUCCAUCAGAAAAUAAUGCAUAUUUGUUAAAAAAAGUCAUUCUCAAGUUCAAAGGUCAACCCAUUUGAUUUGCUCUAACGAAAUGAUUAGUUGCAAUGAAAUAGUUACAAAAAUAUUAAUAUUCCAUCAGAAAAUAAUGAAUAUUUUAAAAAUAAAAAUAUUCUCUGUUAAUUUAUCGAUCGACUAAAUUGACAUAUCGAUCCAGGGAGAUUCGACUUUCGAGAAUACCCGCGAGAUGAGCCAGCAAUUAUCAGAAGGUCACCGUAAAAUAUCGAUUCGCGAAGUUCGCCGGCGAACAAUUCGGCCCCGCAAUUGGAGCUCGGGUUUGGCGCGUGUAUUACCGUUGGUCGGCUCGGAUCGGCCCUUAAACGCUGAGGAAUGCAAAACUACUCGGCCGCACGCGAGAACUUCCUCGUAAAUUGCGAUUCGGAUUUUUCAAAUGAACCCGGCACUCGUGCCAGUGAACCCUUUCGUGUGUCGCUGGAGAAGAAGGUGGAUUCUAACCACAAAUUAAUGGGAGGAUUAUUGAGUGUUUAAUAUGGUUGGUGUGUCAUUGGGGAAUAUUAUAAAAUUACAGGAUGCUUAACAGCAAUAACAAAAUACCAGCAACAAUAAUAAAAUCCUUACCAACAACACUAACAAAAUACUUACCAACAACGACAAUAAAAUACUUGAAUACUAAACACUAUAUUGUCUACAGCCUCAUGGAGAUCACUGCAAAAAACAGUGUCUAUACACAAAGCCAGCAGGAUGCUCCUUCCGCUUUCAGAAUAAGUGGCAUCGCGAAAACAACGUACCCACGAAACAACAACGGUGGAAAAGGGAGCGUCUCGUAAUCGAACACGCCUGCAGCCUUUAUCUGCCGGGCAAAGAGAAAAUCUCCUUACACUUCUUUUUCCGGCGAUGCUCAGCCUUAUUUCUGCGGCACGGUCGAUAUCCUAUCAAACAGAUAUCAAUCCGUUUCAUGGGCCCCACUUUCCCGAUACGUGACGAGAAAAUGAUCGUACAUUUCGAGCGUCCCAGUACACGCUGGCAGCGACGAGGUUAGGAUUGAUGCGUUGGCUCACUAGACCGGUCAUAAAACGCUCAACUAGUGAUUGUUUCCUUUUACGAGAUGGCGUUUGGUAACAAUUCCUGGCAGACGAGAAUGGCUGUCUCCUUUUGGUUGUAUGGUGGAUUGUGGUUGGUGGAGUUGGAAGGCUGGAAGAAUUUGUGUAGUGGUGGAUUAGCUUGUCGAAUGUGGCACCGAUGGAUUAGCUUGUCGAAUGUGGCACCGAUGGAUUGCUGAGGUUGUGCUGAUUAAAAUGAGUCCAAACACGAUGGGAAUCGGAGUGGUUUUAGGAUUUGAUGGAAACCAGCCUUUAGGUUCGUUAAUUACUUUGAAGCUGUAAAACUAGUCCGAUCCCCAUCGUGUUUGGACUCGUUUUAAUCGGGACAAUCUCAGCAAUUCACUGGUACUAUGUUUGAGAAUAUAAAGAUAAAAAUAAUGCAAUUGAUAUUUUCUUCACUACGUGUUUAACUUUACUUAUUCAAAUGUGGUACUAAUGGAUUGCUGAGAUUGUGCCGAUUAAAAUGAGUACAAAUACGGUGGGAAUCGGAGUGGUUUUUGGAUUUGAUGGAAACGAACCUUUAGGUUUGUUUAUUAUAUUGAGACCAUAAAACUAGUCCUAUUCCCAUCGUGUUUGGCUUAUUUUAUUCAGCACAAUCUCAGCAAUUCACUGGCACAACAUUUCAUACCUUUCGUCAUACAAUAUACAAUAAAUAUAAAAUGGUAUAUAAACCACUUGAAACAAUAUAAAAUAAAUAUAAAAUAAUGUAAAACUAGAAAUAUAAAACAAUAUAAAACAAAUAUAAAAUAAUAAAAAAUAUUACUAUCUAAAAUAAUCACACGAGAAAAUUGCAAUCACCUAACCUACAAGCUACACGGAUAAUUUCCAUCCUCACGUACAAAGUUCCCUCCGGUGAGUCACAGUCUACCAAGAUAUGACGCGGAGAAAGUUGCCUCGCUGAUCCCCUUAAGCAUUCAGAAGGUUGGUUGUUCAGCAAUGCUUACAUGUAUUUUCGCGUUUAUCUAAUAUUUCAUAACACGAGCACGCACCGCUCGGAUGACCUACAUCCUCGAACUGUUUGAAGGUGGAAACCGGAAUAAAAUGGUGUUAGACGGUAAACUGAUCGAUAGGGUGUUGUACAGGGUGACCCGAAAAAUGUGACUGAAAUAGUAA
Molecule: non-coding RNA, 2350 nt
Organism: Nomia melanderi (Alkali bee)
Lineage: Eukaryota; Metazoa; Arthropoda; Insecta; Hymenoptera; Halictidae
Source: RefSeq, a predicted model, not a curated record